RNAcentral lists this ribosomal RNA (1447 nucleotides) under Lactiplantibacillus plantarum. RNAcentral's name for it is "bacterial SSU rRNA". It matches the Rfam family "Bacterial small subunit ribosomal RNA". Lineage: Bacteria; Bacillati; Bacillota; Bacilli; Lactobacillales; Lactobacillaceae. The record is from RNAcentral.
UAAUACAUGCAAGUCGAACGAACUCUGGUAUUGAUUGGUGCUUGCAUCAUGAUUUACAUUUGAGUGAGUGGCGAACUGGUGAGUAACACGUGGGAAACCUGCCCAGAAGCGGGGGAUAACACCUGGAAACAGAUGCUAAUACCGCAUAACAACUUGGACCGCAUGGUCCGAGCUUGAAAGAUGGCUUCGGCUAUCACUUUUGGAUGGUCCCGCGGCGUAUUAGCUAGAUGGUGGGGUAACGGCUCACCAUGGCAAUGAUACGUAGCCGACCUGAGAGGGUAAUCGGCCACAUUGGGACUGAGACACGGCCCAAACUCCUACGGGAGGCAGCAGUAGGGAAUCUUCCACAAUGGACGAAAGUCUGAUGGAGCAACGCCGCGUGAGUGAAGAAGGGUUUCGGCUCGUAAAACUCUGUUGUUAAAGAAGAACAUAUCUGAGAGUAACUGUUCAGGUAUUGACGGUAUUUAACCAGAAAGCCACGGCUAACUACGUGCCAGCAGCCGCGGUAAUACGUAGGUGGCAAGCGUUGUCCGGAUUUAUUGGGCGUAAAGCGAGCGCAGGCGGUUUUUUAAGUCUGAUGUGAAAGCCUUCGGCUCAACCGAAGAAGUGCAUCGGAAACUGGGAAACUUGAGUGCAGAAGAGGACAGUGGAACUCCAUGUGUAGCGGUGAAAUGCGUAGAUAUAUGGAAGAACACCAGUGGCGAAGGCGGCUGUCUGGUCUGUAACUGACGCUGAGGCUCGAAAGUAUGGGUAGCAAACAGGAUUAGAUACCCUGGUAGUCCAUACCGUAAACGAUGAAUGCUAAGUGUUGGAGGGUUUCCGCCCUUCAGUGCUGCAGCUAACGCAUUAAGCAUUCCGCCUGGGGAGUACGGCCGCAAGGCUGAAACUCAAAGGAAUUGACGGGGGCCCGCACAAGCGGUGGAGCAUGUGGUUUAAUUCGAAGCUACGCGAAGAACCUUACCAGGUCUUGACAUACUAUGCAAAUCUAAGAGAUUAGACGUUCCCUUCGGGGACAUGGAUACAGGUGGUGCAUGGUUGUCGUCAGCUCGUGUCGUGAGAUGUUGGGUUAAGUCCCGCAACGAGCGCAACCCUUAUUAUCAGUUGCCAGCAUUAAGUUGGGCACUCUGGUGAGACUGCCGGUGACAAACCGGAGGAAGGUGGGGAUGACGUCAAAUCAUCAUGCCCCUUAUGACCUGGGCUACACACGUGCUACAAUGGAUGGUACAACGAGUUGCGAACUCGCGAGAGUAAGCUAAUCUCUUAAAGCCAUUCUCAGUUCGGAUUGUAGGCUGCAACUCGCCUACAUGAAGUCGGAAUCGCUAGUAAUCGCGGAUCAGCAUGCCGCGGUGAAUACGUUCCCGGGCCUUGUACACACCGCCCGUCACACCAUGAGAGUUUGUAACACCCAAAGUCGGUGGGGUAACCUUUUAGGAACCAGCCGCCUAAG